This 1082-nucleotide long non-coding RNA is filed under the name Erythranthe guttata (spotted monkey flower). RNAcentral's name for it is "long non-coding RNA (EGUT_LNC000996)". The record is from RNAcentral. Lineage: Eukaryota; Viridiplantae; Streptophyta; Magnoliopsida; Lamiales; Phrymaceae.
ACCUUCGAUGGCUUUUGCUGGCUGACAUUGCUUGCCAUAUUUGCUCUCAACCGCCCCCACUACCGUCACCGCCACGUCCGUUGCUGCCGAUACUGCCGCCGCCGCCGCAAAGCCCUCGAAUAUUUCAGGUUUUCUCUCUCUUCGCGUUUUAGGUUUUUUUGCAGAACAGACCCUAAAUUUGAUUUUGUUUUUAAAAUUAAGUGAAGUUUGAAUUUAUUUAGGGUUCUUAAUCAUAUGUAAUGAUUAUUUUCAUAUGUAGUUUCGAUUUCCUUCACCAUUAAUCUAUAUCUUACGGUUAUUUUACCGAUCUAAUAAACCUGCAUUGAGUACCGAUACCCAUUUUUUAGUUUUGAUUUUUUGUCAUGGGUGUGUGUUUAUUUUAUCGAUUAAAAAAUUAAAAUUGAUUUUUUGGUGUGUUUUUUCUUAAAUCUGCCAUAGGAGUUGAGAUACAAGGCUGGUCGGCAGAGGUUGUAUGGAUUUGCUUUCAUGUGUAAGAUCUCUAAUAUAUAUGGCUAUGUGGGUAAAUAAAUAUAUUCACUUGUUUGUAUUUGAUUUAGGAGAGUUUAAGUUUUCUCUACCAAUUGUGCAGGAAAAGUGCGGGCCUUAUCUCAAGGAGAAGUUCGAGAUAUCCUCAGAACACGUUCUCAUGUGUGGAAACAUUCACAUUACGUUGAAGUUGCUACCUUAACUAGGUAUACAAGGUGAUUGGACAUGAAUUGAGAUUUACUGCUCCUCAUUUUGAAUUAACUAGCCAUAUAAAUAUUUCUCUUUCAAUAUUUUGUCAAUUAUAUGUUCUUUGAAUAACCGUUCAGAUUUUGAUUUGACCAUUUACAUUGUAUACACUAAUAAUCUAGUUAGAAGUUUAAGGCCUGGAGAUUUUGACAGACAUGUCACCGUCGAUAGGCUUGAUGUUGCUCGUAGAGUAAAGAUUCUUCAAUCUUCGGGUCAGUUAUCUCUUAUGGAAACUGUUAUAUACUCCGGCUUAAUCUGCUAUAAGUUUAUAUGCUUUAGUUUGAAAAUCUUUGAAAAUGUAUUGUUGUGCAUAUUUUGUCGAACUUCGAGUUAAUUUAUAUUGUAUUUAU